Non-coding RNA from Ceratotherium simum simum (southern white rhinoceros), 424 nucleotides. Lineage: Eukaryota; Metazoa; Chordata; Mammalia; Perissodactyla; Rhinocerotidae. The record is from RefSeq and is a predicted model, not a curated record.
CUUCCCUACUUUUAGGUCUUUACCUGGAAUACUCUCUUAUUAAAAUUUUGUCUGUCUUUUAAGGCUCAGCUCAAGAACCACCCCCUCUAAGUUGCCUUCCUGGAUUUAUUCAGCCCAAAGUUAUCCUUAUCUUCCCUGGGAUCCCUCAAGACUUCAUUAUGGAUUUUGUCUCUGGGAACACAGACUGUGCUUUUCAAGAUGAUUCUCUCCAUAUCAUUGUGUUAGUUCCUCCCCCAGGGGUCAGCAGCCUAGAAAUAGAAACAGCAGUGGUGGCUGAUUGUAUUAAUCCGGAUUUGGAAGUUGUGUGGCAGUUAAGGCCGAAGGAUAAGGUGAAGAAUGGUAUUGAUGGUAAUGCUGAGAAGUACUUGAAGUGAGUUAUCAACCCUGGUGCAUAUCAAUCCUGCAUAAGUGACAGUGACAAGGA